GCUGCUUCUCUAUCAUAAUGUACAGGUUAGAAACAGAAAACAAAACAUACAAUCAUUUAAAACUAACAAGGAUUCUCAACCCUAAAAGCAUCUAUUAAUAAAGCCCUGGCUA
Non-coding RNA from Python bivittatus (Burmese python), 112 nucleotides. The record is from RefSeq and is a predicted model, not a curated record. Lineage: Eukaryota; Metazoa; Chordata; Lepidosauria; Squamata; Pythonidae.